This 550-nucleotide ribosomal RNA is filed under the name uncultured Bifidobacterium sp. RNAcentral's name for it is "partial 16S rRNA". The record is from RNAcentral. Lineage: Bacteria; Bacillati; Actinomycetota; Actinomycetes; Bifidobacteriales; Bifidobacteriaceae.
GGUGUUCUUCCCGAUAUCUACACAUUCCACCGUUACACCGGGAAUUCCAGUCUCCCCUACCGCACUCAAGCCCGCCCGUACCCGGCGCGGAUCCACCGUUAAGCGAUGGACUUUCACACCGGACGCGACGAACCGCCUACGAGCCCUUUACGCCCAAUAAUUCCGGAUAACGCUUGCACCCUACGUAUUACCGCGGCUGCUGGCACGUAGUUAGCCGGUGCUUAUUCGAAAGGUACACUCACCCGAAGGCUUGCUCCCGAUCAAAAGCGGUUUACAACCCGAAGGCCGUCAUCCCGCACGCGGCGUCGCUGCAUCAGGCUUGCGCCCAUUGUGCAAUAUUCCCCACUGCUGCCUCCCGUAGGAGUCUGGGCCGUAUCUCAGUCCCAAUGUGGCCGGUCGCCCUCUCAGGCCGGCUACCCGUCGUAGGCUCGGUGGGCCGUUACCCCGCCGACUACCUGAUAGGACGCGACCCCAUCCCAUACCGAUAUAAUCUUUCCCAGAAGGACAUGCAUCCAACUGGAGCAUCCGGCAUCACCACCCGUUUCCAGGA